CCCGCGUUGGAUUAGCCAGUUGGCAGGGUAACGGCCUACCAAAGCGACGAUCCAUAGCCGGCCUGAGAGGGCGACCGGCCACAUUGGGACUGAGACACGGCCCAGACUCCUACGGGAGGCAGCAGUGGGGAAUAUUGCACAAUGGGGGAAACCCUGAUGCAGCGACGCCGCGUGGAGGAAGAAGGUCUUCGGAUUGUAAACUCCUGUUGUUGGGGAAAAGAGGAUGGUACCUGACUAAGAAGCCCCGGCUAACUAC
RNAcentral lists this ribosomal RNA (256 nucleotides) under uncultured bacterium. Its description in RNAcentral is "partial 16S ribosomal RNA". It matches the Rfam family "Bacterial small subunit ribosomal RNA", at positions 230 to 504 of the family's 1533-position model. The record is from RNAcentral.